RNAcentral lists this ribosomal RNA (460 nucleotides) under uncultured bacterium. RNAcentral describes it as "partial 16S ribosomal RNA". It matches the Rfam family "Bacterial small subunit ribosomal RNA", at positions 338 to 795 of the family's 1533-position model. The record is from RNAcentral.
CCUACGGGUGGCAGCAGUGAGGAAUAUUGGUCAAUGGGCGCGAGCCUGAACCAGUCAAGUAGCGUGAAGGAGGACUGCCCUACGGGUCGUAAACUUCUUUUAUAAAGGAAUAAAGUGAGGCACGUGUGCCUUUAUGUAUGUACUUUAUGAAUAAGGAUCGGCUAACUCCGUGCCAGCAGCCGCGGUAAUACGGAGGAUCCGAGCGUUAUCCGGAUUUAUUGGGUUUAAAGGGGGCGAAGAUGGGUUGUUAAGUCAGUGGUGAAAGUUUGCGGCUCAACCGUAAAAUUGCAAUUGAGACUGGCAGUCUUGAGUACGGUUGAGGUAGGCGGAAUUCGUGGUGUAGCGGUGAAAUGCUUAGAUAUCACGAAGAACUCCGAUUGCGAAGGCAGCUUACUAAACUGUCACUGACAUUGAUGCUCGAAAGUGUGGGUAUCGAACAGGAUUAGAUACCCCUGUAGUC